RNAcentral lists this transfer RNA (77 nucleotides) under Desulfobulbus sp. Its description in RNAcentral is "tRNA-Arg". It matches the Rfam family "tRNA". From Rfam's summary of the family: Transfer RNA (tRNA) molecules are approximately 80 nucleotides in length. Lineage: Bacteria; Pseudomonadati; Thermodesulfobacteriota; Desulfobulbia; Desulfobulbales; Desulfobulbaceae. The record is from RNAcentral.
GCUCCCGUAGCUCAGCAGGAUAGAGCACAGGAUUCCUAAUCCUGGUGCCGGCAGUUCGAAUCUGCCCGGGAGCACCA